UCUAGAUGUCCUCAGCCACCCAGCUUUGUGCAAAGACUGUAGACAUAGUAACAGCCUGGCUUCCAAUGAGCCCUAGUAAACCAACAGUGUGUUAACACAUUCUAAAACUGGUUUUAGUAUCAGAAACUAAGUUAAUUGAUAUUUCCAUUGAAUAAAGGAAGCUAUAGAAAUAUGUUCAGGUAUUUAUCGAAAACAGCCCACUGUGUCCCUCUGCGGGUGGUCACAUAGAAAUUGAACAUUUACUCAUGAGAAUGCCAAAAAGGAAUUAUUAAUAAAAGCAAGCCUUGAAUUGAACACAAAUUAUAUUUAAAAUUUUUUUCAGCUAAAAACAG
RNAcentral lists this long non-coding RNA (332 nucleotides) under Mus musculus (house mouse). RNAcentral's name for it is "long non-coding RNA chr6:53541988-53542320". The record is from RNAcentral. Lineage: Eukaryota; Metazoa; Chordata; Mammalia; Rodentia; Muridae.